RNAcentral lists this ribosomal RNA (406 nucleotides) under uncultured bacterium. RNAcentral describes it as "bacterial SSU rRNA". It matches the Rfam family "Bacterial small subunit ribosomal RNA", at positions 29 to 422 of the family's 1533-position model. The record is from RNAcentral.
AACGAACGCUGGCGGCGUGCCUAACACAUGCAAGUCGAGCGCGAAUGGAGCAAUCCUAGUAGAGCGGCGCACGGGUGCGUAACACGUGGAUAAUCUGCCUGGAAGACCGGAAUAACCUGCCGAAAGGCUGGCUAAUACCGGAUAAGCCUACGGGGACUUCGGUCCUUGGAGGAAAAGGUGGCCUCUGUAUACAAGCUAUCACUUCCAGAUGAGUCCGCGGCCCAUCAGCUAGUUGGCGGGGUAACGGCCCACCAAGGCAACGACGGGUAGCUGGUCUGAGAGGACGAUCAGCCACACUGGAACUGAGACACGGUCCAGACUCCUACGGGAGGCAGCAGUGGGGAAUUUUGCACAAUGGGCGAAAGCCUGAUGCAGCAACGCCGCGUGUGUGAUGAAGGUUUUCGGA